GUGGGGAAUUUUGGACAAUGGGGGCAACCCUGAUCCAGCCAUUCCGCGUGAGUGAAGAAGGCCUUCGGGUUGUAAAGCUCUUUCGGCAGGAACGAAACGGUGAGCUCUAACAUAGCUCGCUAAUGACGGUACCUGAAGAAGAAGCACCGGCUAACUACGUGCCAGCAGCCGCGGUAAUACGUAGGGUGCGAGCGUUAAUCGGAAUUACUGGGCGUAAAGCGUGCGCAGGCGGUUGUGUAAGACAGGUGUGAAAUCCCCGGGCUUAACCGGGGAACUGCGCUUGUGACUGCACGGCUAGAGUAUGGCAGAGGGGGGUGGAAUGCCACGUGUAGCAGUGAAAUGCGUAGAGAUGUGGAGGAACACCGAUGGCGAAGGCAGCCCCCUGGGCCAAUACUGACGCUCAUGCACGAAAGCGUGGGGAGCAAACAGGAUUAGAUACCCGGGUAGUCC
Molecule: ribosomal RNA, 450 nt
Filed under: uncultured bacterium
Lineage: Bacteria
Description: partial 16S ribosomal RNA
Rfam family: Bacterial small subunit ribosomal RNA
Source: RNAcentral